AUGACAAGAGUGCCUGGCGCACUGCUAUUGCUCAAGACUCGAGACGUUGCCAGAAAAUGUGUAACGAAGCGGCGGAGGAACGGCGGCACGGCAGACGUUGGUGCGGUUGAACGCGCCCGAUCUCCCAGUCCUAGUAAGGGGUCGCACCGCCCAGGUGGCCGCGAUCCGCUUCCCGGCGCGCGCUGAGCUCCUUCCCUUAUCCACCCCGUUAGUGCGCACGCGCGCCUGUCAUCCGGGUGCUGGUGGCGGCUGCAGGUUGCGCCGGGGUGGCGAACAGGGGGCGGGGCCUGCGGCUCAUUGUGCGCAGCGCUGCGCGGCGCCGGCGGCCGGCGAGGCCUGAGUCGAAGUUGGAGCCGCUGCCGCCGCCCUGCAGUUCACUCGCUGCCUUGGCAGCGCGCCGCUCUUCUAAAAUGGCUGCCGCUACCGGUGCUGUGGCACCCUCGGCUGCCUCAGGUCAGGCAGAAGGUAAAAAGAUCACCGAUCUGCGGGUCAUCGAUCUCAAGUCCGAGCUGAAACGGCGGAACCUGGAUAUCACCGGAGUCAAGACCGUGCUCGUUUCCCGACUCAAGCAGGCUAUUGAAGAGGAAGGAGGCGAUCCAGAUAAUAUUGAAUUAACUGUUUCAACUGAUACUCCAAACAAGAAACCAACCAAAGGCAAAGGUAAAAAACAGGAAGCAGAUGAGUUGAGUGGAGAUGCUUCUGUGGAAGAUGAUGCUUUUGUCAAGGACUGUGAAUUGGAGAAUCAAGAGGCACAUGAACAAGAUGGAAAUGACGANNNNNNNNNNNNNGAAAUUGAAGCUCAAGAAGGUGAAGAUGAUACCUUUCUAACAGCCCAAGAUGCUGAGGAAGAAGAAAAUGAGAAAGAUAUAGCAGGUUCUGGUGAUGGUACACAAGAAGUAUCUAAACCUCUUCCUUCAGAAGGGAACCUAGCUGAGGCUGAUCACACAGCUCAUGAAGAGAUGGAAGCUAAUGCGACUGUGAAAGAAGCUGAGGAUGACAACAUCUCGGUUACAAUCCAGGCUGAAGAUGCCAUCACUCUGGAUUUUGAUGGUGAUGACCUCCUAGAAACAGGUAAAAAUGUGAAAAUUACAGAUUCUGAAGCAAGUAAGCCAAAAGAUGGGCAGGACGUCAUUGCACAGAGCCCGGAGAAGGAAAGCAAGGAUUAUGAGAUGAAUGCGAACCAUAAAGAUGGUAAGAAGGAAGACUGCGUGAAGGGUGAUCCUGUCGAGAAGGAAGCCAGAGAAGGUUCUAAGAAAGCAGAAUCUGGAGACAAAGAAAAGGAUACUUUGAAGAAAGGGCCCUCGUCUACUGGGGCCUCUGGUCAAGCAAAGAGCUCUUCAAAGGAAUCUAAAGACAGCAAGACAUCAUCCAAAGAUGACAAAGGAAGUACAAUUAGUGCUAGUGGUAGCAGUGGAAGCUCAACUAAAAAUAUCUGGGUUAGUGGACUUUCCUCUAAUACCAAAGCUGCUGAUUUGAAGAACCUCUUUGGCAAAUAUGGAAAGGUUCUGAGUGCAAAAGUAGUCACAAAUGCUCGAAGUCCUGGGGCCAAGUGCUAUGGCAUUGUAACUAUGUCUUCAAGCACAGAGGUGUCCAGAUGUAUUGCACAUCUUCAUCGCACUGAGCUGCAUGGACAGCUAAUUUCUGUUGAAAAAGUUAAAGGUGAUCCUUCUAAGAAAGAAUUAAAGAAAGAAAUUGAUGAAAAGAGUAGUUCAAGAAGUUCUGGAGACAAAAAAAACAUGAGUGAUAGAAGUAGCAAGACACAAGCCUCGGUCAAAAAAGAAGAGAAAAGAUUGUCUGAGAAAACUGAAAAAAAGGAAGGCAAGGAUACUAAGAAAACAGAAGGUAAAGAUGAGAAGAAUGAUAAUGGAUCAAGUGGCCAGACUUCAGAAUCGAUUAAAAAAAGUGAAGAAAAGAAACGAAUAAGUUCAAAGAGUCCAGGACAUAUGGUAAUACUAGACCAAACUAAAGGCGAUCAUUGUAGGCCAUCAAGAAGAGGAAGAUACGAGAAAAUUCACGGAAGAAGCAUGGAAAAGGAGAGGGCUAGCUUAGAUAAAAAAAGGCAUAAAGACUACAGGAGGAAAGACAUCUUGCCUUUUGAAAAGAUGAAGGAACAAAGGUUGAGAGAACAUUUAGUUCGUUUUGAAAGAUUGCGGCGAGCAAUGGAACUUCGAAGACGAAGAGAGAUUGCAGAAAGAGAGCGUCGAGAGCGAGAACGCAUUAGAAUAAUUCGUGAACGGGAAGAACGGGAACGCUUACAGAGAGAGAGAGAGCGCCUAGAAAUUGAAAGGCAAAAACUAGAGAGAGAGAGAAUGGAACGCGAACGCUUGGAAAGGGAACGCAUUCGUAUUGAACAGGAACGUCGUAAGGAAGCUGAACGUAUUGCUCGAGAACGAGAGGAACUGAGAAGGCAACAGCAGCAGCUUCGUUAUGAACAAGAAAAAAGGAAUUCUUUGAAACGCCCACGUGAUGUAGAUCAUAGGCGGGAUGAUCCUUACUGGAGCGAGAAUAAAAAGUUGUCUCUAGAUACAGAUGCACGAUUCGGCCAUGGAUCUGACUACUCUCGGCAACAGAAUAGAUUUAAUGACUUUGACCACCGAGAGAGGGGCAGGUUUCCUGAGAGUUCCUCAAUUCCGUCUUCAUCUUUUGAUAGGAGAGAACGUUUUGUUGGUCAAAGUGAAGGGAAAAAACCACGUCCUUCUGCACGAAGAGAAGAUCUAGGUUUUGAAAGGUAUCCCAAAAAUUUCAGUGAUUCCAGAAGAAACGAGCCUCCACCACCAAGAAACGAACUUCGAGAAACAGACAGACGAGGAGAACGAGAUGAGAGGAGAACAGUGAUCAUUCAUGACAGACCUGAUACCACCCACCCUAGACAUCCUCGAGAAGGAGGGCCCAAUCCAUCUAGACCAACCUCCUGGAAGGCUGAAGGGGGCAUGUCCACUGACAAACGGGAAACAAGAGUUGAAAGGCCAGAACGAUCUGGGAGAGAAGUAUCAGGGCACAGUGUAAGAGGGGCUCCUCCUGGGACUCGCAGUAAUGCUUCCGGCUAUGGAAACAGGGAGGGAGACAGAGGAGUAAUCACUGACCGAGGAAGUGGAGCACAGCACUAUCCUGAAGAACGACAUGUAGUUGAACGCCAUGGACGGGACACAAGUGGACCAAGGAAAGAAUGGCAUGGUCCACCUUCUCAAGGGCCUGGCUAUCAUGAUACAAGGCGAAUGGGUGAUGGCCGGACAGGAGCAGGCAUGAUAACGCAACAUACGAGUAAUGCAUCCCCAAUUAAUAGAAUUGUACAAAUCAGUGGCAAUUCCAUGCCAAGAGGAAGUGGCUCCGGAUUUAAGCCAUUUAAGGGUGUACCUCCACGACGAUUCUGAAAAUUACUUGCUGCCAUGGUUUCAAGAUAAUUUAUUGAAAUCUCCUAUAAACUUUACUUGACUACUUAUGAAGAGGACCUCUGACUUGCUUGAGAGUUGUCAGACUUUUCCUUUUUCUCUUUUUUUAAAAUUUAACAUGAUUGCUUUUCUCAAUUUUGGAGAAGAUGUUUAAAUAGUUCCGUUGUAACUUUUAAUAGUUUUGUGUAUCAUUCAACUUUUUUUCUUGCAGCACCAAGACACAUUGGAAAGGAUAGGAAUCAAAACCAUUUUGUUUAACGCUGUGUGAAUAUAAAGAGUAGUUUGCAGGUGUGUGGUAGUGGUUUAAUUUGCAGCAUUAGCUCUGUGGUGUCAGGCUCUAGAGUUACUUCUUAUCAACAAGAAUUUUCAGCCUCCAUUUUGAAGGCUGUUUAAGCUUAAGAAGUCUGCUGUUUAAUUUUUAGAAAAUAAGAUUGUUCCUUGCAUUUCUGAGUAUUAUGUAACCUAUUUUUGCAGAAGGUACUGUUACAUUAAGUGCAUCUGUGUAUCCUGGUUUUAAGAAAUGUACUCUUUUUUGAAAUAAACCUUCAUAUUCUGUAUAGUUGCUAAAGCGUUGAGAACCUUUUUAAUUGUAAAAUGAA
Molecule: unclassified non-coding RNA, 3988 nt
Filed under: Bos taurus (domestic cattle)
Lineage: Eukaryota; Metazoa; Chordata; Mammalia; Artiodactyla; Bovidae
Description: SAFB-like, transcription modulator
Source: RNAcentral